This 512-nucleotide ribosomal RNA is filed under the name uncultured Planctomycetota bacterium. Its description in RNAcentral is "bacterial SSU rRNA". It matches the Rfam family "Bacterial small subunit ribosomal RNA", at positions 117 to 643 of the family's 1533-position model. The record is from RNAcentral. Lineage: Bacteria; Pseudomonadati; Planctomycetota.
GUAGUUAUGUACCCAGGGGUUCGGAAUAGCCACGGGAAACUGUGGGUAAUGCCGAAUAACAUCUGCGGAUCAAAGGUGUGAUUCCGCCCUUGGAGCAGACUGCGUCCUACUAGCUAGUUGGUGGGGUAAUGGCCCACCAAGGCAACAAUGGGUAGCGGGUGUGAGAGCAUGACCCGUCUCACUGGGACUGAGACACUGCCCAGACACCUACGGGUGGCUGCAGUCGAGAAUCUUCGGCAAUGGGCGAAAGCCUGACCGAGCGACGCCGCGUGCGGGAUGAAGGCCCUCGGGUUGUAAACCGCUGUCGUAGGGGAGGAAGGCUCCGUGAAGAACGGGGUUUGACCUAUCCUAGGAGGAAGUACGGGCUAAGUUCGUGCCAGCAGCCGCGGUAAUACGAACCGUACAAACGUUAUUCGGAAUCACUGGGCUUAAAGGGUGCGUAGGCGGCCAUGUAAGUGAGAUGUGAAAUCCCUCGGCUCAACCGAGGAAGUGCAUUUCAUACUGCAUGGCUU